UACAGAGGUCUCAAGCGUUGUUCGGAUUCAUUGGGCGUAAAGGGUGCGUAGGCGGCGCGGUAAGUCGGGUGUGAAAUCUCGGAGCUUAACUCCGAAACUGCAUUCGAUACUGCCGUGCUUGAGGACUGGAGAGGAGACUGGAAUUUACGGUGUAGCGGUGAAAUGCGUAGAUAUCGUAAGGAAGACCAGUGGCGAAGGCGGGUCUCUGGACAGUUCCUGACGCUGAGGCACGGAGGCCAGGGGAGCAAACGGG
RNAcentral lists this ribosomal RNA (253 nucleotides) under uncultured bacterium. Its description in RNAcentral is "partial 16S ribosomal RNA". It matches the Rfam family "Bacterial small subunit ribosomal RNA", at positions 524 to 776 of the family's 1533-position model. The record is from RNAcentral.